This 1444-nucleotide ribosomal RNA is filed under the name metagenome. RNAcentral describes it as "bacterial SSU rRNA". It matches the Rfam family "Bacterial small subunit ribosomal RNA". The record is from RNAcentral.
AGAGUUUGAUCCUGGCUCAGAACGAGCGCUGGCGGCACGCUUAACACAUGCAAGUCGGACGCGCUAGUAAUAGCGAGUGGCGAACGGGUGAGUAAUGUAUAGGAACUUGCCCUCUGGUGGGGAAUAACUACGGGAAACUGUGGCUAAUACCGCAUAAGCUCGGAGACGAGGAAAGAUUUAUCGCCAGGGGAUAGGCCUAUAUCAGAUUAGGUAGUUGGUGGGGUAAUGGCCUACCAAGCCUUUGAUCUGUAGCUGGUCUGAGAGGACGGACAGCCACACUGGGAUUGAGAUACGGCCCAGACUCCUACGGGAGGCAGCAGUGGGGAAUAUUGGACAAUGGGGGAAACCCUGAUCCAGCGAUGCCGCGUGAAUGAAGAAGGCCUUCGGGUUGUAAAAUUCUUUCACUCGUGAAGAUGAUGACGGUAGCGAGAAAAGAAGCUCCGGCUAACUCUGUGCCAGCAGCCGCGGUAAGACAGAGGGAGCUAGCGUUGUUCGGAAUGAUUGGGCGUAAAGGGUGCGUAGGCGGUUGUUUAAGUAAGGUGUUAAAGCCCCAGGCUCAACCUGGGAAUUGCGCCUUAUACUGGACGGCUAGAGUUUGAUAGAGGAAAGUGGAACUCCUAGUGUAGAGGUGGAAUUCGUAGAUAUUAGGAAGAACACCAGAGGCGAAGGCGGCUUUCUGGGUCAUAACUGACGCUGAGGCACGAAAGCGUGGGGAGCAAACAGGAUUAGAUACCCUGGUAGUCCACGCCCUAAACGAUGAGUACUAGACGUUGGAUUUAUUCAGUGUCGCAGCUAACGCGUUAAGUACUCCGCCUGGGGAUUACGGUCGCAAGACUAAAACUUAAAGGAAUUGACGGGGGCCCGCACAAGCGGUGGAGCAUGUGGUUUAAUUCGUUGCUACGCGAAAAACCUUACCGGUUCCUGACAUAGGAAUAGAGGGAUUUGGAAACAAGUUCCGCAUUUAGUUGGAUUCUAUACAGGUGUUGCAUGGCUGUCGUCAGUUCGUGUCGUGAGAUGUUGGGUUAAGUCCCGCAACGAACGCAACCCUUGUCCUUAGUUGCUAACAGGUGAAGCUGAGAACUUUAAGGAGACUGCCGGUGAUAAGCCGGAGGAAGGUGGGGAUGACGUCAAGUCCUCAUGGCCCUUAUGGACCGGGCUACACACGUGCUACAAUGGUGGUGACAAAGGGGAGCGAAGGGGUGACCUGGAGCAAAUCCUAAAAAGCCAUCUAAGUUCGGAUUGUUCUCUGCAACUCGAGUACAUGAAGUUGAAAUCGCUAGUAAUCGUGGAUCAGCACGCCACGGUGAAUACGUUCACGGGCCUUGUACACACCGCCCGUCAGGCCAUGAGAGUUGGUUCUGCCUGAAGCCGGUUUACUGACCCUUUUUUGGGGGGUAGCCGUCUACGGUAGGGUUGAUGAUUGAGGUUAAGUCGUAACAAGGUA